This 337-nucleotide unclassified non-coding RNA is filed under the name soil metagenome. Its description in RNAcentral is "partial contains 5.8S ribosomal RNA, internal transcribed spacer 2, and large subunit ribosomal RNA". The stretch from base 1 to 120 matches the Rfam family "5.8S ribosomal RNA", at positions 35 to 154 of the family's 154-position model. The record is from RNAcentral.
GAUGAAGAACGCAGCGAAAUGCGAUAAGUAGUGUGAAUUGCAGAAUUCAGUGAAUCAUCGAAUCUUUGAACGCACAUUGCGCCCCAUGGUAUUCCGUGGGGCAUGCCUGUUCGAGCGUCAUUUACCCCCUCAAGCUCCGCUUGGUGUUGGGCGUCUGUCCCGCUUCGCGCGCGGACUCGCCCCAAAGGUAUGGGCAGCGGUCGUGCCAGCUUCUCGCGCAGCACAUUGCGCUUCUCGAGGCACCGGUGGGCCCGCGUCCAUCAAGCUCACCCCCCCAGUUUGACCUCGGAUCAGGUAGGGAUACCCGCUGAACUUAAGCAUAUCAAUAAGCGGAGGA